Macrosteles quadrilineatus (aster leafhopper) is the source of this 1786-nucleotide RNA transcript. It is a transcript of the gene named rhythmically expressed gene 2 protein-like, with no coding region annotated. Lineage: Eukaryota; Metazoa; Arthropoda; Insecta; Hemiptera; Cicadellidae. The record is from RefSeq and is a predicted model, not a curated record. The transcript has 3 exons.
UUUCGAUCAGUUGUUUUGUUUAGGUUUUCGUUUCGUUGUUUUGUUUUGAUCUUGCUACCAAAUUGCAAUUUCUCAUUCUAUUUCUUAUCGAUUAAAUGGUUGGAGAAUGAGAGACUUUAAUUAAUUAAUAAAAGUCUUGUUUUCUCAUCAUUCUCUGAUAUUAGUAUUUUCAUUUGUUACUUACCAAUUUAUGUUGUUAUUUUAUUAGCUAAGUAUUAACUUUUUUCGUGACCUCACUCAAAGAAAAAGUAUCAUUCUAUGAUUAAAAAUAUUGAAUAUUUAUUUUGUGUGACAACUGACAACAAUCUCCAACUGUAAGUUAGUGUUACUAAAAAGUUAUGGUUUUACAGCCACCUUCCACUGAAAACGACACAAUGAGGUUCUUAUCCAAGCCUACUGCAUUAUUUCAAAACUAAUAUAUUAAGCUAACUUACAGGUAGCAUUUUAUAAAAGAAAUGAUUCUUAAAUUGGUUACAUUUGAUGCAACUGGAACUCUUCUCCAAUUUAGAGGAACUGUUGGAAGCCAUUAUGCAAAAAUCGCAUCUAAAUACAGUGUUAAUGUACAACCUCGCACGCUGACAAAAAACUUUCCUUUGGUUUUUAAGAGAAUGUUAAUUGAACAUCCAAAUUUUGGAGCUAACAACGGGAUAGGUUGGCAACAUUGGUGGGAACAGUUGGUGUCUAGAGUUAUCAAGGAUUCACUGCCUGGAAGUGUCUCAAUAGAAUCAUCGACUGUUAACAAAAUAUCUUCAGAUUUAAUAGAAAUUUAUUCAACAAAAGAAUGUUGGAAGUUAGCUGACGGGGCAGAGCGGUUGUUGGAAGAACUGAGUGGUAGAAAGUUUCGUUUAGGAGUGAUCUCUAACAGUGACCCAAGACUCGGGACUAUUUUACAAGACCUUAAUAUAAAACAUUAUUUUGAUUUUGUGACAGUCUCGUUCUCAGUAAAUUGUGAGAAACCAGACAGUGCUAUUUUCAAAGCUGUGGAAGACAUGAAUGUUGGAAUAAAAAAGUGUGAAAUAUUGCACAUCGGUGACAACCCCAAAUUAGACUUCAUGGGAGCCAGAAAUGUUGGUUGGAACGCACUUCUUGUUGCUAACAACUCCAAAGUAUUGAAUGAUUUUCCAUCGAUUGAAAAGGAUUGGGUUGUUGAUAGUAUUGAUGAAAUAUACCAAGUACUUGAAAACAAAAACAUAAUUUAAUUACUGUUUGAUGAGUAUAUUUGAGAAAAUAACUAAACACAUGAUUGUUUACAUUUGAAGAAGCUUGUCAGCCCUGUCAACUACAGUUAUCCAUCGAUAGUCUGACUUUUUAAAUCUGGUGUACUAAUGUACUAUAAGCAUUGGCCAAUGGUGAUUCAGCAAAGGAUAACGAAUUUGAAUCUGGGCAGUGAAUCAGAGGAAGACAAAUUGGACGGAAAACUCAGAUUUCACUUGAUAUGCAACAAUAUUGACAGGCUGAUAGAGAUUUUCUGAAAAGGUGUAACAAACUUACAUGAACUUUUAAGAUAAAAAGGUUCUACUGAUAAACCAAAUUCUAUACUCACCGGAAGCAAAAAAAAACCCCUGAACGAUAUUGGAAUGGCGAAAACAUAUCAUUCUUCCUGAACUACAUUCACCACAAGAAAUGAUUAGAACUGGAACUAAAUGACUGAAAAUUACUUGCGUCCGCCAUCAAAGUGAAAUCACUAGACGAUUUACGGAAAGUAAAAUAAAAUUAUAAAAAAAAUACUUAUCUGGUUAAGAAGUUAUUAUUAUGAUUUAGUAUAGAAAAAGAAAGAAAACUUUGC